RNAcentral lists this ribosomal RNA (469 nucleotides) under uncultured Streptococcus sp. RNAcentral describes it as "bacterial SSU rRNA". It matches the Rfam family "Bacterial small subunit ribosomal RNA", at positions 912 to 1382 of the family's 1533-position model. Lineage: Bacteria; Bacillati; Bacillota; Bacilli; Lactobacillales; Streptococcaceae. The record is from RNAcentral.
AGACGGGGGCCCGCACAAGCGGUGAGCAUGUGGUUUAAUUCGAAGCAACGCGAAGAACCUUACCAGGUCUUGACAUCCCGAUGCUAUUUCUAGAGAUAGAAAGUUACUUCGGUACAUCGGUGACAGGUGGUGCAUGGUUGUCGUCAGCUCGUGUCGUGAGAUGUUGGGUUAAGUCCCGCAACGAGCGCAACCCCUAUUGUUAGUUGCCAUCAUUCAGUUGGGCACUCUAGCGAGACUGCCGGUAAUAAACCGGAGGAAGGUGGGAUGACGUCAAAUCAUCAUGCCCCUUAUGACCUGGGCUACACACGUGCUACAAUGGUUGGUACAACGAGUUGCGAGUCGGUGACGGCGAGCUAAUCUCUUAAAGCCAAUCUCAGUUCGGAUUGUAGGCUGCAACUCGCCUACAUGAAGUCGGAAUCGCUAGUAAUCGUGGAUCAGCAUGUCACGGUCGAAUACGUUCCCGGGCCUU